UACCACUAACCAGUUCAUUCUCAAUCUGCAAUCACUGCCAAUCAGUCACUUGACGAGUUUUGGGCGAGGCGUUUUCAAAAUACUUUCAAUACUUCAAUUUUAAUACUUAAAUCCUGACGCUUACAAAAAAGAGAAAAAAGAGGUAUGUUCUUGUGUUUUAUAGUUUAUUGUAAAGUACUUCACAUUCAUGGCAUAAAAGUGAUUAAAUUUUGUGUUUAAUUCGGCCUCGUGUUCGGCCAUGUUUUCGCUUCGCUCGUCUUCCUAAAUUUGCAACGUUAAAUUUUUACAAAUAUUCUUUGUUGUCCGUUUUUUAUCCGCGAAGAAAUGCUUGGAUAUGAUAUUCUGUUUGUGGUUUAGUUGAAUUUAUUUUACAAAUUUCUCAUUUUCGUACUAAAAGUAAGAUAUAUUUAAAAUGGUAUUUCGCUGUACUUUAUCACUUGUAGUGAAAUGAAGCAAGGAAGGACCUAAAUAAUUCUUUUAACUAAGGAAUUUUUGGUGAAAAAAAACCGCUUAUGAAUUGUACAAUUGUACAGUUAAAAAAAUUAUAAUAGAUCAGAGAUUCGGGAAAACGGGAAAAAUCGCAAAAAGGUUAAUUACCACAAUUGCUAAAUUCUGCCAUGAAAUGAAAAAAUACUGACCAGCCUGGCCUUGGUGGAAUAUUAAGAAAUUCUUUUUAAUAUUCUAGUUUAUAAAUUAUAAUGAUGGCCAUUACAAUUUGUAUCAACCAUUUUUUGCAGAAUGCCCAAGUACGAAAUGUCAGUCCCCUUAAAGGGGGCUGACAUUAAUACAUUAAAAGAAAUGUUUGACAAAGAAAAAUACGAGAUCUCCUAUGACGGGGCGGUUUUCCACUGCCGCCUCUUAAAUAAAGAGAGCAAGAGGUGCCUGAGGUGGCAGUGGAAAAGCCGUGUUAAACGCAAAUUGAAGCGGCUGGUAAAAAGAAAAAUUAUGCUAGAACAACCCAAACCACCACCUGUGGGAAAACCUAUAAGGAAGGUCAGAAGGCGAAGUAAAAUGUUACAUACAUACCUACGUACAUACAUACAUCUAUAAUGAAAUUAAUGCAGAAAAUGCAAAUUAAAGAAAUGAAUGUUGUUAUUAAAACACUCAAUGGUAAACAGAUUAGAACUAACUGGGCAUCUCGUAAGCCUCAGCCACCACAGGUGGAAAGACUGAUGAGUGUAUUUGAAACGUAUGGAAAUAUCAUUAUUAUUCAAGUACUCGCUGACAAGGGAUACGCUUUUAUAACAUAAGUCGAUUUGAUGAUCACUAUCCUGCAGCUGAAGCCAUUUGUAGUAUGCAUGGAGAGAAUCUUGAUGGAAACGUUUUAAAGUGUUCUUGGGGAAAAGAACAGGUCCGAAGAAUCCGUACGCAGGACAUAUGGCGCCAGGAUAUGCACAAGGAGGUCCACACAUGCAGAAUCAAGGUGGUCCAAGAAAUGGUCAGCAAGGCCCGAAUGGAGUUCACAAUACGGGCCCUCAAGGAAGGCGGUAUGGGAUAUUGAAUACAGCCUGCGGGUUUCAGGCUGGUGUUUGACGCAAGAGAUUCCCAACCUUGGGAAACAUGAACCAAAAAAAAUGAUGCCAAAACUUGUGUUUGGUGGUCAAAAAAAGUGGAGGGAAAUUCUCUGGUUGAACUGUUGAGCGUCAAAAUUAACGUCUCUCAAUGUAAUGUGAGGAAAUUGUAAAGCUAUAUGUUUAUCAGUCAGGAAACACUGUAAAAAAGAACAUGUUAAAUCAUUGUCAUCUUUGUCUAGCUUAGAUAUGUGUUUCGGUAGAAAUGAA
RNA transcript from Dendronephthya gigantea, 1781 nucleotides. RefSeq lists it as uncharacterized. NCBI's taxonomy places the organism in Eukaryota, Metazoa, Cnidaria, Anthozoa, Malacalcyonacea, Nephtheidae. The transcript is spliced from 12 exons. The record is from RefSeq and is a predicted model, not a curated record.